This 477-nucleotide ribosomal RNA is filed under the name uncultured Ehrlichia sp. RNAcentral's name for it is "bacterial SSU rRNA". It matches the Rfam family "Bacterial small subunit ribosomal RNA", at positions 103 to 615 of the family's 1533-position model. Lineage: Bacteria; Pseudomonadati; Pseudomonadota; Alphaproteobacteria; Rickettsiales; Anaplasmataceae. The record is from RNAcentral.
CGGGUGAGUAAUGCGUAGGAAUCUACCUAGUAGUAUGGAAUAGCCAUUAGAAAUGAUGGGUAAUACUGUAUAAUCCCUGAGGGGGAAAGAUUUAUCGCUAUUAGAUGAGCCUACGUUAGAUUAGCUAGUUGGUAAGGUAAUGGCUUACCAAGGCUGUGAUCUAUAGCUGGUCUGAGAGGACGAUCAGCCACACUGGAACUGAGAUACGGUCCAGACUCCUACGGGAGGCAGCAGUGGGGAAUAUUGGACAAUGGGCGAAAGCCUGAUCCAGCUAUGCCGCAUGAGUGAAGAAGGCCUUCGGGUUGUAAAACUCUUUCAAUAGGGAAGAUAAUGACGGUACCUAUAGAAGAAGUCCCGGCAAACUCCGUGCCAGCAGCCGCGGUAAUACGGAGGGGGCAAGCGUUGUUCGGAAUUAUUGGGCGUAAAGGGCACGUAGGUGGACUGGUAAGUUAAAAGUGAAAUACCAAGGCUUAACUU